GCUGGGCACGGUGGCUCAUGCCUGUAAUUCCAGUACAUUGGGAGGCUGAGGUGGGAGGAUUGCUUGAGCCCAGGAGUUUGAGACCAGCCUGGGCAACAUAGUGAGACCCCACCUCUA
Callithrix jacchus (white-tufted-ear marmoset) is the source of this 117-nucleotide unclassified non-coding RNA. It matches the Rfam family "Metazoan signal recognition particle RNA". From Rfam's summary of the family: The signal recognition particle (SRP) is a universally conserved ribonucleoprotein. It is involved in the co-translational targeting of proteins to membranes. The record is from Ensembl. Lineage: Eukaryota; Metazoa; Chordata; Mammalia; Primates; Cebidae.